This 439-nucleotide ribosomal RNA is filed under the name uncultured bacterium. RNAcentral describes it as "bacterial SSU rRNA". It matches the Rfam family "Bacterial small subunit ribosomal RNA", at positions 28 to 507 of the family's 1533-position model. The record is from RNAcentral.
GAUGAACGCUGGCGGUAUGCCUAACACAUGCAAGUCGUACGAGAGUUUUUAACUCUAGUGGCGGACGGGUGAGUAACACGUGAGAAUUUGCCUUUAGGAGGGGGACAACAAUUGGAAACGAAUGCUAAUACCCCAUAUGCUUUCGAGUGAAAUGGAUUUUAUCCGCCUAGAGAGAAGCUCGCGGCUGAUUAGCUUGUUGGUAAGGUAAGAGCUUACCAAGGCGACGAUCAGUAUCUGGUUUGAGAGGACGAUCAGACACACUGGAACUGAGACACGGCCCAGACUCCUACGGGAGGCAGCAGUGAGGAAUUUUCCACAAUGGGCGAAAGCCUGAUGGAGCAAUGCCGCGUGGAGGAAGAAGGCCCGUGGGUUGUAAACUCCUUUUCUCAGAGAAGAAGAUCUGACGGUAUCUGAGGAAUAAGCGCCGGCUAACCCUGUG